This is a non-coding RNA of Poecilia reticulata (guppy), 1927 nucleotides long. The record is from RefSeq and is a predicted model, not a curated record. NCBI's taxonomy places the organism in Eukaryota, Metazoa, Chordata, Actinopteri, Cyprinodontiformes, Poeciliidae.
GAAUUUUGCUCCUCUGAAAUGUAUCACUUUCUUUUUUAGAGACACAAAACAUUUCUUAAAAUGAAAUAGAUAUUUAAUAGGGUGUCCAAACUAAAGUCCUGUAAAGCACUUCUAUUGUUUUGGUCCACAUAGAUCAUCACAAAGUCAGAUCAGUGAAAAGAAAAACCACAGGACUAACAGCAGGACUUGACAUUUUGGGGCACGAUUCCCCACCAAGCAUAAGAAGCUGUUUCUUCUAUCACUUUGGGUUGAGAAUCAGGAUCUGGUGAUAAAACAGCUCUGAGGGGGUCCACCUCAAACGAGGCAACCUGAUGGAGGGAUGGCGAAGAAGACGUGAGAAGAAAUGUGAAAAUUAUAACAACGGGAAAAGGUUGAGAAGUGAAGGAACACAGCAGGUUUUUGGCUAAAAAAGGACGACCUCGAGGCCUUUCGAUGUGCAGGAAUAUCUCAGUGCUGGUCGCUGAUUAUUAAACACGCUACUGACCUGUCAGGACUCGUUUCUUUUCCGAGAACACAAGAACAGUGCAGUGUAUGAUUUGUGUGUUUUCAUGCUGAGUUGUGUAGCGAGAUAAAGGUCACAUAUGACUUAAUGCCCUUUAAAUCUGGGAUAAACUAAAGGUCCCUCAUUAGUCUCAUUACUGAGUGUUGCUCAGGGAUGCAGUAACUUAAGUUUUAAGUCAUACAUGACUUAAGUCAUACAUGUUGUAAGUCAUACAUGGUGACUUACAACAUAGUUUGACAAAGUAUAAAAACAUUUAUGUGGAAAAUGAACCUUUAAAUGAGUAUAUCUACAGAUAUAGACUAUGUAACCCGCAAUUAGUCAAUUAGUCAAGACUUUUAUUUUUGUCGGCCCACUUCCUGUUUUGCCCCAAACUCUGCAACUUAUUUAAAGCCCCGCCUCCAGCGCACAGUUUGAACUUCAUCAGCUGUUCCACUGUGAUUGUGGCUGGCUGUUUGGCGUCUUCCUAACAAUUCACCCAAAUAUUUGCAUCCACUGAUUUGAUCCUUCGGUUUGUGCUUCAGUUUCUUGACUUUGCAUUUUGACUUUCAUGGAGAACAAAACAGAAAACCAAAAAGUGAGAACAGUCACAUCCAGGGAGGACGAGUGUCAGACACCAGAGAGGGACGAGCCGCCGCAUUCGUCUUCAUCUCCGAUCAGCCACGGCACCGGGGGGUCAAAGGUGACAGAUGAUGGAUGAAUAAUAAACAAGCAGCACAGAGCUGUGCUACUGCAGCCGCCCAGGUGUGAAUUCACUUCAGAAAUCAGCGGCUACGCGUUUGUUGUGUGUGUUUAUGGAGGAUUACUGGGAGUUCUGGUCCAAUCAAAGGAAUAUUGGUUUACAAGGAAUAUUCAAGUCCCACAAGACAUGCAGAUCUUUACAGACAUAAUUUACCAUCAACUUUUCUAAUUUACUCUUCUGACAUCAUGAAAGGCUUUGGAAGUCGGUCAUUUUGAAAUGUAAACCAUAUAUAUGGAUGAAGACGUUUCACCUCUGAUAACGCCUCUCACUGCAAAAGCAUAAAGUUUCACCAAAGCUAAUAGCUUCUACAAACGUCUUGGUACACUCAAAAGGAGACAAAACUAACUUAUAAGUACAUUUUCAGCAAGAAAUAUGAGUCGAUACUUAAUUUAAGCAUUAAAAUAUUUGUAAUGAAUUAAUUGAAAUUAAUGUGUUUUAAGUUUUUCAGUUAAGUUCUAUUUUACUGUCGUUUAUGAUAUUUUUGUGUUUUUAAGACAAUAAAUUUGGUGAUGUCUGAAUAAAUGAAUGGUAAUUUGUUGCAGACUCUGUUGUUUUUUCCUCAGUAUCUGUGCCAAAUGAAUGGUAGGUAUUUUUUAUUUUGGCAUCAACUUGAAUCAGCGUGUUUCCCAGAUUCAAGUUCGUAUGAAAGUAUUGAGAAGAGUCAAAUUUCUCGUUCCUGUAUUUUG